RNAcentral lists this ribosomal RNA (441 nucleotides) under uncultured bacterium. RNAcentral's name for it is "bacterial SSU rRNA". It matches the Rfam family "Bacterial small subunit ribosomal RNA", at positions 29 to 514 of the family's 1533-position model. The record is from RNAcentral.
AACGAACGCUGGCGGCAGGCUUAACACAUGCAAGUCGAACGGUUGUAGCAAUACAGCAGUGGCAGACGGGUGAGUAACACGUGGGAACCUUCCUAGGGGGUACGGAACAACUCAGGGAAACUUGAGCUAAUACCGUAUACGUCCGUGAGGAGAAAGAUUUAUCGCCCUUAGACGGGCCCGCGUCGGAUUAGCUAGUUGGUGGGUAACGGCCUACCAAGGCGACGAUCCGUAGCUGAUCUUAGAGGAUGAUCAGCCACACUGGGACUGAGACACGGCCCAGACUCCUACGGGAGGCAGCAGUGGGGAAUCUUGGACAAUGGGCGCAAGCCUGAUCCAGCCAUGCCGCGUGAGUGAAGAAGGUCUUCGGAUUGUAAAGCUCUUUGCCAGGGACGAUAAUGACGGUACCUGGAGAAUAAGCCCCGGCAAACUUCGUGCCAGCAG